GCUUCAGGGCGGGGUGAAAUUCCCCACCGGCGGUAUAGUCCGCGAGCCUGCAGGUAAUAGUUCCUUAAAGGCAGAUUCGGUGAAACUCCGGAACCGACAGUAUAGUCUGGAUGGAAGAAGU
This 121-nucleotide non-coding RNA is filed under the name pig gut metagenome. RNAcentral describes it as "FMN riboswitch (RFN element)". It matches the Rfam family "FMN riboswitch aptamer (RFN element)". From Rfam's summary of the family: The RFN element is a highly conserved domain that is found frequently in the 5'-untranslated regions of prokaryotic mRNAs that encode for flavin mononucleotide (FMN) biosynthesis and transport proteins. This element is a metabolite-dependent riboswitch that directly binds FMN in the absence of proteins. The record is from RNAcentral.